This 253-nucleotide ribosomal RNA is filed under the name uncultured bacterium. RNAcentral's name for it is "partial 16S ribosomal RNA". It matches the Rfam family "Bacterial small subunit ribosomal RNA", at positions 524 to 776 of the family's 1533-position model. The record is from RNAcentral.
UACGUAGGGGGCAAGCGUUGUCCGGAAUCAUUGGGCGUAAAGCGCGUGUAGGCGGUCCGGUAAGUCGGUUGUGAAAGUCCAGGGCUCAACCCUGGGAUGCCGAUCGAUACUGCCGGACUAGAGUCCGGAAGAGGCGAGUGGAAUUCCCGGUGUAGCGGUGAAAUGCGCAGAUAUCGGGAGGAACACCAAUGGCGAAGGCAGCUCGCUGGGACGUGACUGACGCUGAGACGCGAAAGCGUGGGGAGCAAACAGG